UACACUCCUGCGGGAGGCAGCAGUGGGGAAUUUUGGCCAAUGGGCGAAAGCCUGAUCCAGCAAUGCCGCGUGAGUGAAGAAGGCCUUCGGGUUGUAAAGCUCUUUUGUCAGGGAAGAAACGGUGAAAGCUAAUACCUUUUGCUAAUGACGGUACCUGAAGAAUAAGCACCGGCUAACUACGUGCCAGCAGCCGCGGUAAUACGUAGGGUGCAAGCGUUAAUCGGAAUUACUGGGCGUAAAGCGUGCGCAGGCGGUUUUGUAAGUCUGAUGUGAAAUCCCCGGGCUCAACCUGGGAAUUGCAUUGGAGACUGCAAGGCUAGAAUCUGGCAGAGGGGGGUAGAAUUCCACGUGUAGCAGUGAAAUGCGUAGAUAUGUGGAGGAACACCGAUGGCGAAGGCAGCCCCCUGGGUCAAGAUUGACGCUCAUGCACGAAAGCGUGGGGAGCAAACAGGAUUAGAAACCCUAGUAGUCCCAUGA
RNAcentral lists this ribosomal RNA (477 nucleotides) under uncultured organism. RNAcentral describes it as "partial 16S ribosomal RNA". It matches the Rfam family "Bacterial small subunit ribosomal RNA", at positions 332 to 800 of the family's 1533-position model. The record is from RNAcentral.